This 76-nucleotide transfer RNA is filed under the name Tissierellia bacterium. RNAcentral's name for it is "tRNA-Trp". It matches the Rfam family "tRNA". Rfam says of the family: Transfer RNA (tRNA) molecules are approximately 80 nucleotides in length. Their secondary structure includes four short double-helical elements and three loops (D, anti-codon, and T loops). Further hydrogen bonds mediate the characteristic L-shaped molecular structure. tRNAs have two regions of fundamental functional importance: the anti-codon, which is responsible for specific mRNA codon recognition, and the 3' end, to which the tRNAs corresponding amino acid is attached (by aminoacyl-tRNA synthetases). tRNAs cope with the degeneracy of the genetic code in two manners: having more than one tRNA (with a specific anti-codon) for a particular amino acid; and 'wobble' base-pairing, i.e. permitting non-standard base-pairing at the 3rd anti-codon position. The record is from RNAcentral. Lineage: Bacteria; Bacillati; Bacillota; Tissierellia.
AGGGGUGUAGCUCAGUUGGUAGAGCAGCGGUCUCCAAAACCGCGUGUCGUGGGUUCGAAUCCUGUCACCCCUGCCA